RNAcentral lists this microRNA (21 nucleotides) under Monodelphis domestica (gray short-tailed opossum). Its description in RNAcentral is "mdo-miR-7396-5p". Lineage: Eukaryota; Metazoa; Chordata; Mammalia; Didelphimorphia; Didelphidae. The record is from miRBase by way of RNAcentral.
UAUCUGUAUAUCUUGGUUAUG